RNAcentral lists this long non-coding RNA (386 nucleotides) under Setaria viridis. Its description in RNAcentral is "long non-coding RNA (SVIR_LNC006918)". The record is from RNAcentral. Lineage: Eukaryota; Viridiplantae; Streptophyta; Magnoliopsida; Poales; Poaceae.
UAUGGUUGGUGGGGUGGGGAAUAUUGGGGAAGGCAAAAUCAUCAAAUUUAAGGAAAAAAUUAGCCGAAAUUUUUAUGGACUAGUUUAGGUUGUGACAGAUAGGAAGUGCAUUGCCGAUAUCUUUUGCAUGAAUUUGUUAUACAAUUUUAAGAAAAAUAAAAGUAGGCGCAGAUGUGUCUCGAAGCAAAUCCAGUGGCUUUGAAAAUGGGCUUACAAGUAACAAAGAAUUAGGCAACCUACAAACAACGAAGAGUCAGGAUGUCUAUAGUCUGCGCUUGAUUAAACAUGUGUUGACAAAGCAUCUACUCAGAAGUGACUUGGUUUAGCACAGGAAGUAUGAGAAAGGCAUGUCCCUCGAGUAAAAGAAAAGGUUAUGACGUAUGGAC